This 452-nucleotide ribosomal RNA is filed under the name uncultured bacterium. Its description in RNAcentral is "bacterial SSU rRNA". It matches the Rfam family "Bacterial small subunit ribosomal RNA", at positions 340 to 783 of the family's 1533-position model. The record is from RNAcentral.
UACGGGAGGCAGCAGUGGGGAAUAUUGCACAAUGGGCGCAAGCCUGAUGCAGCCAUGCCGCGUGUAUGAAGAAGGCCUUCGGGUUGUAAAGUACUUUCAGUCGUGAGGAAGGUGUUAAGGUUAAUAACCUUAGCAAUUGACGUUAGCGACAGAAGAAGCACCGGCUAACUCCGUGCCAGCAGCCGCGGUAAUACGGAGGGUGCGAGCGUUAAUCGGAAUUACUGGGCUAAAGGGCACGCAGGCGGUUAAUUAAGUUGGAUGUGAAAUCCCCGGGCUUAACCUGGGAAUGGCAUUCAAGACUGGUUAGCUAGAGUCUUGUAGAGGGGGUAGAAUUCCAUGUGUAGCGGUGAAAUGCGUAGAGAUGUGGAGGAAUACCGGUGGCGAAGGCGGCCCCUGGGACAAAGGACUGACGCUCAUGUGCGAAAGCGUGGGGAGCGAAACAGGGAUUAGAU